CGGUCCUACCGAUGCCGUGCACUUCACCUAACAAUUAUUGGUAAUACAAAUAAACAUCGAUGCAUGGACAACUCUUUGCUCAGAUGCUUCUCUAAGCAUGUUGCAGCCACUUGAUCUCUAAAUCAUGUGGGCUCACCUAAUAGUUAUUGCCCGUACUUCUUAGUUAAGCCAGACCCACCGUUCACAAGUAAGUGUAAAGCC
RNAcentral lists this long non-coding RNA (201 nucleotides) under Elaeis guineensis (African oil palm). RNAcentral describes it as "long non-coding RNA (EGUI_LNC030872)". The record is from RNAcentral. Lineage: Eukaryota; Viridiplantae; Streptophyta; Magnoliopsida; Arecales; Arecaceae.